CCCAAAUUCUAGUUCCCACUUCCCCCAAUAAAAUUUUUCCUCUGAACAUAAAUUAACCUCCCCCAAUUCAUCUCUAUCCGCAUCCGUUCCCUGACUCCCUAUUGUAACCUCUCCAAUACCUUCAUUGAUCUCCUGUCUCUAUAUAACCGCUAUGGUUGAGGAACCGUAAUGGUGAUGAUUGUCGACGAUGGUUUUCUUCGAUGAUUAUCCCAGCGUCUGCCCCUGUCAUUCUUUAAGUAGGUAUUGCUAUCUAUCUUCGAACCUUGCAAUGCAUAUGGUUGAAACUAAUAGUCAUGGAUAGAACUAAAGGGUGCAAGAUGACUAUGAUCUUAUUCAGUAAAAUCAUUUGAGAGGCAUAUGAUGGUGAUGGAACCUAACCAAAAAGUCAAAGUUUGGAUGAAGAGGUCAAAGAGCCAAGCAAACUACGAGCAAAAAGUAGAUACACGACCCUUGACCUGAUAAUGAUUUAACAAGGAGAACGAAGUUCAUGUAUUUGGUGAAUAAGCUUGGACUUGCUAAGGUAUGAAUCACAUGAUGUAUGUAAUGUUAUUUUGUCGAACUUUCAUGAAUGUAAACUUGGAAGAGAACAUACUUGACUCACAAUCAAGUGGCCCGUUAAGGAGAUUUUAAAUCAGUUAUUAUGUAUUAACCUUGUUUUGUUAGUGUGCAGGUUGGACUUGUUUUCAAUGGGUUCCAUGUGCUAUUGAAAUUCUUAGUUGAUAUUAAAGGUUGUAUGCUAAAUGCGCUGGUGCAUAACAGAGGAAAAUGAUCAGAGACAUAUGCAGGGGCAUAUUAUAUACCAGUCUAUAUGGCAUAUACUAAAAAAAGAACCAAAUAUGUCAUGUAAUAUGCUGAGAUGGAGCAUGAGUAGCAUAAAACACGCCCAAAUUGGCAUAUUAUACGUUGGGUUGUUUUGUUCAUUUUUUUUUUGUUUAUUUAUACAGAGUUAUCAGGCAUGUAUAGAUUGUUCACUCAUUUAGCUUUGCUAACUUCUUUGUUUACAUAUACUUCCAGGAUUGAUGGUGGAUUAAUGUUUAUACAGAGAAUCAUGAAUGAGACUAUGGUUUUUAAGAUCUGAAGACAUUGUCUUGCACUUAUUUUACUUGGUUAGCAACAGUAUCAGGUUUGCAAAUAUUUGUUGGUGGAUUAUUCAUACUUGAAAGACUAAACAGUUAAGUCGAACAAGGGAGACUAGAAGAAAUUUCACAAGCACCUAUUCAAGAUCCUUGAAGAAAAUUUAAUUUGAUUUGAAGAUUUUGUAAAUAAUUUUGAGUAACUUUAUGAAUGUAUAAUAGAUUAUUAUGAUAUCUUUGAUACCAUUCUUAUGGCGCAAUUCAGAUCCUAAUGCAUAUUAA
Molecule: long non-coding RNA, 1355 nt
Organism: Helianthus annuus (common sunflower)
Lineage: Eukaryota; Viridiplantae; Streptophyta; Magnoliopsida; Asterales; Asteraceae
Exons: 4
Source: RefSeq, a predicted model, not a curated record